UACGUAGGGGGCUAGCGUUGUCCGGAUUUAUUGGGCGUAAAGAGCGUGUAGGCGGCCUGACAGGUCUGCUGUGAAAACUCGAGGCUCAACCUCGAGAUGUCGGCGGAAACCACUUGGCUAGAGUCCGGAAGAGGAGAGUGGAAUUCCCGGUGUAGCGGUGAAAUGCGCAGAUAUCGGGAAGAACACCUAUGGCGAAGGCAGCUCUCUGGGACGGUACUGACGCUGAGACGCGAAAGCGUGGGGAGCGAACAGG
This 253-nucleotide ribosomal RNA is filed under the name uncultured bacterium. RNAcentral describes it as "partial 16S ribosomal RNA". It matches the Rfam family "Bacterial small subunit ribosomal RNA", at positions 524 to 776 of the family's 1533-position model. The record is from RNAcentral.